CAGCCGCCGCGGGAAUACGUAGGUGGCAAGCGUUGUCCGGAAUUAUUGGGCGUAAAGGGCUCGCAGGCGGUUUCUUAAGUCUGAUGUGAAAGCCCCCGGCUCAACCGGGGAGGGUCAUUGGAAACUGGGAAACUUGAGUGCAGAAGAGGAGAGUGGAAUUCCACGUGUAGCGGUGAAAUGCGUAGAGAUGUGGAGGAACACCAGUGGCGAAGGCGACUCUCUGGUCUGUAACUGACGCUGAGGAGCGAACGCGUGGGGAGCGAACAGGAUUAGAUACCCCGGUAGUCCCUGUCUCUUAUAC
This 301-nucleotide ribosomal RNA is filed under the name uncultured bacterium. RNAcentral's name for it is "partial 16S ribosomal RNA". It matches the Rfam family "Bacterial small subunit ribosomal RNA", at positions 509 to 807 of the family's 1533-position model. The record is from RNAcentral.